AUCCCAUUGUUCUAAGGUAAUAAAUCCUAUAAUUGCUGUAUCCUCAGAACCCAGCACGGGGCACUGCAUACGGUAGAUCUGCUUAACCAUGUACCAAAUGCAUCCGCCUCUUCCCCAACAUCCAUUACUACUGGAACCCACCAAGAACUGAAUUCCAUGGUACUUCUCAGGAUUCUUGAGGUCUGGACUAAGCCCUGGAUUGGGAAAGACGUGUUUAUGAUGCAGACCAGUUGGGGAGAUUUUUCUUGAAGGAGCAGCAGCUUGGGAAUAGCUGACCUGCACCUGUCAUUCUGGAUAAGGAUAGCAUGUUCAUAAAAGGGAAAUGAGUGGAGAAGGAGGGAAGGAGUUGUGAGCAAAGCAUUUAAAGCGUUGCCAGAAUAUAAGCAACAGUGCUUCAUGUCGUGAAAAACUGAGAAAAGGAGUCUUUAUGUACAGGAAGAACUCAGCAGCUGACCUCAAGAAGAAAGGAAAACAUCCUCUCUUCACUUUUCUCUGGGAUGCCUGUGCCCAGGGUCUUGAGUUUCCGACUGGGGCAUAAUGGAUUUUUGGUGGCCUGUGACUUUAUUAUGGGUCUUUUCCCAAAGUGUUUUGAAAUGAUUUUAUCCAACAUGGAUGUCUUGAUCCAAGAGAAAAAAAGGGAUCCCUUCAAAGUCCUUUCCCCAGUUUCCUGCUUAGUCCCACUCCUAGAGCCCUAGGGGGUUCUGUAGCUCCUCUAUAUUUUC
RNAcentral lists this long non-coding RNA (722 nucleotides) under Homo sapiens (human). Its description in RNAcentral is "non-protein coding lnc-TK2-4:2". The record is from RNAcentral. Lineage: Eukaryota; Metazoa; Chordata; Mammalia; Primates; Hominidae.